CACAGGUUUGGUCCUGGCCUUUCUAUUAAUUCUUAAUAAAAUUACACAUGCAAGUAUCCGCGCCCCGGUGAGAAUGCCCUCCAGAUCCUAAAGAUCAAAAGGAG
This 104-nucleotide ribosomal RNA is filed under the name Sus scrofa (pig). RNAcentral describes it as "12S rRNA". Lineage: Eukaryota; Metazoa; Chordata; Mammalia; Artiodactyla; Suidae. The record is from RNAcentral.